This 10233-nucleotide long non-coding RNA is filed under the name Brassica napus (rape). RNAcentral describes it as "long non-coding RNA (BNAP_LNC001122)". The record is from RNAcentral. Lineage: Eukaryota; Viridiplantae; Streptophyta; Magnoliopsida; Brassicales; Brassicaceae.
AAAAAGAAACGUUUAAAUUUGUUUAUUAAAUUAUGGAAAUAUAAUAACGAACAUGUUUUCUCCAUAUUUAAAUGCAAUAACGCAAGAAAUUAGAAAUGCAAACUGUUUUCUUCUUCAAUUUUUUUUUAAUAUAACUCAAAAUAAUAUACUAUUUAGAACUCUUUGGAAAUUAGCUCUUGUUUUUUGAGUUUUUGAACUUUGGACUUUUUUUCUAUGUAAGAAUACAAUUAUAUCUUAGUGAAAAGCAAAAGCAAAUUUCAAUUAUUUUGAAAUAAAUUUCAGAGCGGAUUAAUUAUUUUUUUAUCAUCUGUAGACACUCUAUAUAUAAUUAUACAAUUUAUAUCAUUUCAACCUUUGUAAAAUUGUUUUUAAUGUUUGUAGUUACAAAUGAGUAAUUAUCAAAAUAAUGCGCAGAAAAGUUUAUUCUUGAAACAUACUUUUCAAUUGUACUAAUUACAUGAAUAUUUCUUAAUAAAUUUCUAACUAUAAUCACUUGUUUUGAUUCUGCAACCUCUUGCAGCUUCAAAUUCUUGAAUCUACCUGUCUAUGUAAUAUGUUUAAAUUAGUCAAAGCUUUUAAAAUGAAAACUGAUUAAACAUAAAACUGGUAAUUAAAAAUACAAUAGUGUUUCUCUAUUUGCUGAAAAUAUACAUCCAAACCUAAACAGAUUUUCAAAAUCGGGAUACAUAGCUAUAUAACCAAGUGGUCUUUUAAGAUUGGAUCUGAGUUUUAAAUUAUUGAAAAUUUGGUCAGAAGUAUAGAAAAAAAUAAACAAAAAGAAAUGUAUAAUGAACACGAGGCUUACUUACAUAGCAAUAAAAUAACAUUUACAAUGAAAUCAAAUUUUAAAAAGACCAAUGGAAUAAAAACACGGAGGAGAGGGAUUUUCUUAUGUACUCCGUCUCCAACGCUCCUCUCCACCAUUUUCUCUUCUUACAAGCUUCCCCAGAGACGACUUUUCCCUGUUUUACCCAAACAUAUCCGGUUAGUUCUACUUCUUCAUCUUCUUUGCUUUCCUGAAUUUGUUUUACCAUUGAUAUUGGGACUUGCUUCGUUCGAUUAGUUUCUGACUAGAUUAACACCAAUCUUACUAUUUUAUUUCUCCUGAUGUUGUUUUGUAAUAAACCUCAAGACAAGUGCUAAGAAAAAAAAAUAUAUUUAGUUGUAUUUGAGGUUCAUGAAUAUCAGAAAACAUAAAACUUUAUUAAUGUACUCUUACCACAUACAUACAAAAUUACAAAUAUUUGUAAUUAUCUAGAUCCAUGUGAGUUCAUGUUAUGCCCUCUAAGGACACCUUACGUGUUGUACAUGCUGGCUAUGUUCCCCUCCUUUGUUUCUCUCUUAAGCUCUUGUGAUUCUCUGAUAAAAAAAACUUCUUUUCUGCAGCUUUUGUGCUUCAUCCUCUGAGUGGUUCUUAGUGCUUUCAAAGUACAUGAUGAGUAAAGUUAACAGUGAGGAAUCUUCUAGUAACCAAAAGUUAUUGAAGGAGGUAGAGACGAUCGGUGAAGCUUUGUAUGUGAACAAGAAUAAUCCUAGGAGGAGCUCAGCAUCUGGUCCUAAUAACAACACUUCAACAAAGCCCUUGGGUCGUACCACCCACUUAGCUGAGCCUCAGAAGGAAAAGAAGUCUUUUUGGAACUGGCCUCUCAGAGCUCUUUCUCAUGUCCGAAACCGACGGUUCAACUGUUGUUUCUUUGCUCAAGUACAUUCCAUAGAAGGCUUACCGCCGAUAUUCCAGGAUCUUUACCUCACUGUUCACUGGAAACGUCGUGAUGAGUCUUUAACCACUCGUCCUGCAAAAGUUUUGAACGGAAGAGCUGAGUUUAAGGACAAGCUGACGCAUACGUGCUCGGUUUACGGAAGCAGAAGCGGACAGCAUCACUCGGCUAAGUAUGAAGCGAAGCAUUUCUUGCUGUAUGCGUCUCUGGUUGGGUCUCCUGAGGUUGAUCUGGGGAAACAUCGGAUGGAUCUUACGAGAUUGCUUCCUCUAACGCUAGAGGAGUUGCAGGAUGAGAAGAGCACUGGGAAGUGGUCGACGACGUUUCAGUUGAGUGGGAAGGGUAGUGGUGCUACUCUGAGCAUGAGUUUUGGGUACACUGUUGUUGGGGAUACUCGCAGUGCUUCAAAUGCAAAGCAAACUAGCAAUAAUAUCACAGGGUUGACGAGGACUACUAGUACAAAGUCUGUAUCUCGGCGUUAUGAUCAUGGUAUUGUUAACAAAGAGUCUCGUCCUCUGUCUGAGAAUGUGGAGGAGAUCAAAGAUCUUCAUGAAGUUCUUCCCGUUGCACAAUCUGACCUGGCCAGUUCUGUGAACAUUCUGUAUCAAAAAUUUGAUGAGGAGAAGGUGGAUCGGGCAGCUGAGUCUCAGAUCGAAUUUGAGGUUGUCACUAAACACAUUGAACCUGUUGAGUCAUUUUCUCAAGAAAAUGAAGAUGCAAAUGAAACUGAGGUUCCUUUAGAGGAUGUUAAGAAGGUUGACGAAGUUCCUACUGCUGGAAGUGAGGAAGUUUUUACAGAAAACUUGCCUCCAGGAGAGCCUUUGGUAAACAGGAAUGAGACUGAUGUUUCUUUUGAAGAAUCAAAGAUAGUUGGUGAAGUUCCUAUUACUAGAAGUGAGGAAGUUGUUGAGAUUGGUACAGAAAGUUUGUCUCCAGAGGAGGGUAGCAAUGUUUCUAUAAAGGAAGAGAACAGUGGGAGAGACGUGAGAGAAAUGAUAAUGAAAGAUCUUGAAUCAGCUUUGAAAAGUGUAGAAAUGUUGGAAGCAACAGCGUCAGACGACGACGAGGAAGAUCAAGAAGACCGUGGAGGCUCAGAAACAUCCUAUAGAACACCAAAUAAGGAAGCAGCAGCAGUAUCAAGUUCGAGAGAUGUGGCAAGCGAGUUCCUAGACAUGCUAGGUAUUGAACACAGCCCUUUUAGUUUGAGUUUUGAGAGCGAACCUGAGUCUCCAAGGGAGCGCUUGUUAAGAGAGUUUGAAAUGGAAACUCUAGCGGCCGGUUCUUUGUUUGAUUUUACUAUUGAAUCUGAUGAAAACUUCUCAGAAGAGAAUGAAUCAGAUUUCGAUCUGGCAUCCCUAGUUCAAGAUAUAGAGGAAGAGUACCAGUUGGAAACUCAAGCAAGAGUCAGCAACCCCAGGGCCAAAACGUUAGAAGACUUGGAAACAGCAUCACUGAUGCGUGAGUGGGGUAUGAAUGAAAACACAUUCCAGAACUCUCCGCCUCACAAUGGUCGUAAUACGUUUCCUCCAGAACAGGAGCCAUUUGAUUUGCCUCCUCUAGGAGAUGGCCUUGGUCCAGUUGUGCAGACAAAGAACGGAGGGUUCUUGCGUUCAAUGAAUCCUUUACUAUUCAGAAACUCUAAAUCCGGAGGGAGCUUGAUCAUGCAAGUGUCAAGUCCAGUGGUGGUGCCUGCUGAGAUGGGCUCUGGUAUCAUGGAGAUACUUGAGAAACUAGCCACUGCUGGAAUUGAGAAGCUCUCAAUGCAGGCAAAUAAAGUAAUGCCUUUGGAUGAUAUAACAGGGAAAACUAUGGAAGAGUUGUUGUGGGAUGCUUCACCUGCAAUUGACGGUGGUAACAGGUUUGAAACCAAUCUUAUCAUCAUUCAUUCUGUUUUGUGAAAAAUGUUUACUUACGUUUUGGACGUAUUUGGUUUACUUCUCAAUGCAGGGAUCAUAUCUCACAGCAUGAAUCUGGUUUUGGGAGUGGAGCAUCAUCUGCAGCUAAUUCAAAAAAGUUUGGUUCAAGCUCUAGCAACAACAACUCUGGCUCGGAGUAUGUAUCACUUGAAGAUCUUGCUCCUUUGGCUAUGGACCAGAUUGAAGCACUUUCUUUAGAAGGGUUGAGAAUACAAUCAGGAAUGUCAGAGGAGGAUGCACCCUCUGAAAUAACUGCACAGUCAAUCGGAGAGAUCUCAGCCUUCCAAGGAAAAAGCGGGUGCGUUGGUCUAGAAGGAGCUGCUGGUUUACAACUUCUUGACAUAAAGGAUGACAGAGAUGACGAUGAUGAUGGGUUAAUGAGUCUCUCAUUGACUCUUGAUGAGUGGAUGAAGCUGGAUUCAGGUGACAUUGGAGACGAAGAUGAAAUAAAUGAGCAAACGUCGAAAAUCUUGGCUGCACAUCAUGCAAACCCACUGAACUUUAUCCGGAAAGGGGAGAAAAGAAAGGGGAAGAGAGGAAGGAGAUGUGGUUUACUUGGGAAUAACUUCACAGUAGCACUAAUGGUUCAACUCCGAGAUCCCUUAAGAAACUAUGAGCCAGUUGGAGCUCCCAUGCUUUCUCUUAUCCAGGUUGAGAGAUUGUUUGUUCCUCCAAAGCCCAUAAUCUAUAGUACAGUUUCAGAGGUGAGGAAAACCGAUGAAGAGGAAAAGGAAACUGAGGUGGUCAAAGAGGAUAAAACCGUUUUGGAGGAACAAGGAAUCCCUCAGUAUAAAAUCUCAGAGGUGCAUGUUACUGGUAUGAAGAGUGAGACUGAUAAAAAGCCAUGUGGAGUCAAGAGUCAGCAUCAGCAGGUGCAGUCUGGUUCAAGGUGGUUGAUGGCUAACGGAAUGGGGAAAGGGAACAACAAGCUUCCUCUUAUGAAACCAAAACCGGGUUCUAUAAAGUCUGGUGAUAAGUUGUGGAGUGUGUCUGGUUCUGGUUCUAAAUGGAAAGAGCUUGGGAAAGUGGGGAAGUGGAACACACACGUGCGGAAUCCGAAUGUGAUCAUGCCAAAAUGAAACAAGAACUAGUGUCUGGUUUCUGGUUUUCUUUUUAUGCUAUGUAAAGUUAAUGUUAUGUGGUGUGUUGAAUUGCUAGAUUCAUUUCAGUGUUGCACCUGUGUUUAUUUAUGUGUGUGUUAGUUUAGGUUUUGCGGAUCAAACUAAUCACUGUUUUGUGGUACAGUUAAGAGAUCAAUGGAACGAACAAGAGCCUUUGAACUUGGUGCAGUGCUUAUUAUAUGAUAGUGAGGCAUCUUAGACGUGUCUGCAAUGCAAUGCUUAUUACUUAAUUAAAAUUUAAGCCAUAGAGACAAGAAAAUGAAACACUUGGAACAAUUACACACAAUAAAAUGCUAAACGAACUUGAAUAAAAAGCACAUAAACUCACACACAAAAACUUAAAAAAAAAUGAAAUAUAAGCUUAAUCAGUUCCUCCAAGCACACCCUUAAGUUUCUUAACUUGUUCAUCACUAAGGAAGGUGGUGGCUUCAACGAGCUCUGAAGGCAAAUCAUUAGCAAACAAAGCAAACGGUAGAAUCUGGAGGCCUGGGGAGGAGCUUCCAAAGGCAACAAAGGCCAAGGCAGGGCCUUUCCCAGAGUUAAGCUGAAAAUGAAGAAGCCCUUGAGGAAACACCAUAGAAUCACCUCUCUGGAGAGUCUUCAAGUAAACUUUGUUAGCAGAGGAAAUAAACCCGGCGCAGAUGGUUCCUUGUAUGACUACAAGAACCUCAGACGCACCAGGAUGUGUGUGAAGAGGAAUGACACCACCACCGGCUAAGUCAAGACGAGCCAUUGAGACUCCAAGACCAUUGGUGCCUGCGAAAGCAGGGGCAAAGGCUGGCGUCACUGCGGCUUUAAUGAGGUUCGAAGUGUUUCCAGCUUUGGCGAGGCCGGAGAAUGCAAAGUCAUUUUAAUAAACCUCAAGACAAGUGCUAAGAAAAAAAAAUAUAUUUAGUUGUAUUUGAGGUUCAUGAAUAUCAGAAAACAUAAAACUUUAUUAAUGUACUCUUACCACAUACAUACAAAAUUACAAAUAUUUGUAAUUAUCUAGAUCCAUGUGAGUUCAUGUUAUGCCCUCUAAGGACACCUUACGUGUUGUACAUGCUGGCUAUGUUCCCCUCCUUUGUUUCUCUCUUAAGCUCUUGUGAUUCUCUGAUAAAAAAAACUUCUUUUCUGCAGCUUUUGUGCUUCAUCCUCUGAGUGGUUCUUAGUGCUUUCAAAGUACAUGAUGAGUAAAGUUAACAGUGAGGAAUCUUCUAGUAACCAAAAGUUAUUGAAGGAGGUAGAGACGAUCGGUGAAGCUUUGUAUGUGAACAAGAAUAAUCCUAGGAGGAGCUCAGCAUCUGGUCCUAAUAACAACACUUCAACAAAGCCCUUGGGUCGUACCACCCACUUAGCUGAGCCUCAGAAGGAAAAGAAGUCUUUUUGGAACUGGCCUCUCAGAGCUCUUUCUCAUGUCCGAAACCGACGGUUCAACUGUUGUUUCUUUGCUCAAGUACAUUCCAUAGAAGGCUUACCGCCGAUAUUCCAGGAUCUUUACCUCACUGUUCACUGGAAACGUCGUGAUGAGUCUUUAACCACUCGUCCUGCAAAAGUUUUGAACGGAAGAGCUGAGUUUAAGGACAAGCUGACGCAUACGUGCUCGGUUUACGGAAGCAGAAGCGGACAGCAUCACUCGGCUAAGUAUGAAGCGAAGCAUUUCUUGCUGUAUGCGUCUCUGGUUGGGUCUCCUGAGGUUGAUCUGGGGAAACAUCGGAUGGAUCUUACGAGAUUGCUUCCUCUAACGCUAGAGGAGUUGCAGGAUGAGAAGAGCACUGGGAAGUGGUCGACGACGUUUCAGUUGAGUGGGAAGGGUAGUGGUGCUACUCUGAGCAUGAGUUUUGGGUACACUGUUGUUGGGGAUACUCGCAGUGCUUCAAAUGCAAAGCAAACUAGCAAUAAUAUCACAGGGUUGACGAGGACUACUAGUACAAAGUCUGUAUCUCGGCGUUAUGAUCAUGGUAUUGUUAACAAAGAGUCUCGUCCUCUGUCUGAGAAUGUGGAGGAGAUCAAAGAUCUUCAUGAAGUUCUUCCCGUUGCACAAUCUGACCUGGCCAGUUCUGUGAACAUUCUGUAUCAAAAAUUUGAUGAGGAGAAGGUGGAUCGGGCAGCUGAGUCUCAGAUCGAAUUUGAGGUUGUCACUAAACACAUUGAACCUGUUGAGUCAUUUUCUCAAGAAAAUGAAGAUGCAAAUGAAACUGAGGUUCCUUUAGAGGAUGUUAAGAAGGUUGACGAAGUUCCUACUGCUGGAAGUGAGGAAGUUUUUACAGAAAACUUGCCUCCAGGAGAGCCUUUGGUAAACAGGAAUGAGACUGAUGUUUCUUUUGAAGAAUCAAAGAUAGUUGGUGAAGUUCCUAUUACUAGAAGUGAGGAAGUUGUUGAGAUUGGUACAGAAAGUUUGUCUCCAGAGGAGGGUAGCAAUGUUUCUAUAAAGGAAGAGAACAGUGGGAGAGACGUGAGAGAAAUGAUAAUGAAAGAUCUUGAAUCAGCUUUGAAAAGUGUAGAAAUGUUGGAAGCAACAGCGUCAGACGACGACGAGGAAGAUCAAGAAGACCGUGGAGGCUCAGAAACAUCCUAUAGAACACCAAAUAAGGAAGCAGCAGCAGUAUCAAGUUCGAGAGAUGUGGCAAGCGAGUUCCUAGACAUGCUAGGUAUUGAACACAGCCCUUUUAGUUUGAGUUUUGAGAGCGAACCUGAGUCUCCAAGGGAGCGCUUGUUAAGAGAGUUUGAAAUGGAAACUCUAGCGGCCGGUUCUUUGUUUGAUUUUACUAUUGAAUCUGAUGAAAACUUCUCAGAAGAGAAUGAAUCAGAUUUCGAUCUGGCAUCCCUAGUUCAAGAUAUAGAGGAAGAGUACCAGUUGGAAACUCAAGCAAGAGUCAGCAACCCCAGGGCCAAAACGUUAGAAGACUUGGAAACAGCAUCACUGAUGCGUGAGUGGGGUAUGAAUGAAAACACAUUCCAGAACUCUCCGCCUCACAAUGGUCGUAAUACGUUUCCUCCAGAACAGGAGCCAUUUGAUUUGCCUCCUCUAGGAGAUGGCCUUGGUCCAGUUGUGCAGACAAAGAACGGAGGGUUCUUGCGUUCAAUGAAUCCUUUACUAUUCAGAAACUCUAAAUCCGGAGGGAGCUUGAUCAUGCAAGUGUCAAGUCCAGUGGUGGUGCCUGCUGAGAUGGGCUCUGGUAUCAUGGAGAUACUUGAGAAACUAGCCACUGCUGGAAUUGAGAAGCUCUCAAUGCAGGCAAAUAAAGUAAUGCCUUUGGAUGAUAUAACAGGGAAAACUAUGGAAGAGUUGUUGUGGGAUGCUUCACCUGCAAUUGACGGUGGUAACAGGUUUGAAACCAAUCUUAUCAUCAUUCAUUCUGUUUUGUGAAAAAUGUUUACUUACGUUUUGGACGUAUUUGGUUUACUUCUCAAUGCAGGGAUCAUAUCUCACAGCAUGAAUCUGGUUUUGGGAGUGGAGCAUCAUCUGCAGCUAAUUCAAAAAAGUUUGGUUCAAGCUCUAGCAACAACAACUCUGGCUCGGAGUAUGUAUCACUUGAAGAUCUUGCUCCUUUGGCUAUGGACCAGAUUGAAGCACUUUCUUUAGAAGGGUUGAGAAUACAAUCAGGAAUGUCAGAGGAGGAUGCACCCUCUGAAAUAACUGCACAGUCAAUCGGAGAGAUCUCAGCCUUCCAAGGAAAAAGCGGGUGCGUUGGUCUAGAAGGAGCUGCUGGUUUACAACUUCUUGACAUAAAGGAUGACAGAGAUGACGAUGAUGAUGGGUUAAUGAGUCUCUCAUUGACUCUUGAUGAGUGGAUGAAGCUGGAUUCAGGUGACAUUGGAGACGAAGAUGAAAUAAAUGAGCAAACGUCGAAAAUCUUGGCUGCACAUCAUGCAAACCCACUGAACUUUAUCCGGAAAGGGGAGAAAAGAAAGGGGAAGAGAGGAAGGAGAUGUGGUUUACUUGGGAAUAACUUCACAGUAGCACUAAUGGUUCAACUCCGAGAUCCCUUAAGAAACUAUGAGCCAGUUGGAGCUCCCAUGCUUUCUCUUAUCCAGGUUGAGAGAUUGUUUGUUCCUCCAAAGCCCAUAAUCUAUAGUACAGUUUCAGAGGUGAGGAAAACCGAUGAAGAGGAAAAGGAAACUGAGGUGGUCAAAGAGGAUAAAACCGUUUUGGAGGAACAAGGAAUCCCUCAGUAUAAAAUCUCAGAGGUGCAUGUUACUGGUAUGAAGAGUGAGACUGAUAAAAAGCCAUGUGGAGUCAAGAGUCAGCAUCAGCAGGUGCAGUCUGGUUCAAGGUGGUUGAUGGCUAACGGAAUGGGGAAAGGGAACAACAAGCUUCCUCUUAUGAAACCAAAACCGGGUUCUAUAAAGUCUGGUGAUAAGUUGUGGAGUGUGUCUGGUUCUGGUUCUAAAUGGAAAGAGCUUGGGAAAGUGGGGAAGUGGAACACACACGUGCGGAAUCCGAAUGUGAUCAUGCCAAAAUGAAACAAGAACUAGUGUCUGGUUUCUGGUUUUCUUUUUAUGCUAUGUAAAGUUAAUGUUAUGUGGUGUGUUGAAUUGCUAGAUUCAUUUCAGUGUUGCACCUGUGUUUAUUUAUGUGUGUGUUAGUUUAGGUUUUGCGGAUCAAACUAAUCACUGUUUUGUGGUACAGUUAAGAGAUCAAUGGAACGAACAAGAGCCUUUGAACUUGGUGCAGUGCUUAUUAUAUGAUAGUGAGGCAUCUUAGACGUGUCUGCAAUGCAAUGCUUAUUACUUAAUUAAAAUUUAAGCCAUAGAGACAAGAAAAUGAAACACUUGGAACAAUUACACACAAUAAAAUGCUAAACGAACUUGAAUAAAAAGCACAUAAACUCACACACAAAAACUUAAAAAAAAAUGAAAUAUAAGCUUAAUCAGUUCCUCCAAGCACACCCUUAAGUUUCUUAACUUGUUCAUCACUAAGGAAGGUGGUGGCUUCAACGAGCUCUGAAGGCAAAUCAUUAGCAAACAAAGCAAACGGUAGAAUCUGGAGGCCUGGGGAGGAGCUUCCAAAGGCAACAAAGGCCAAGGCAGGGCCUUUCCCAGAGUUAAGCUGAAAAUGAAGAAGCCCUUGAGGAAACACCAUAGAAUCACCUCUCUGGAGAGUCUUCAAGUAAACUUUGUUAGCAGAGGAAAUAAACCCGGCGCAGAUGGUUCCUUGUAUGACUACAAGAACCUCAGACGCACCAGGAUGUGUGUGAAGAGGAAUGACACCACCACCGGCUAAGUCAAGACGAGCCAUUGAGACUCCAAGACCAUUGGUGCCUGCGAAAGCAGGGGCAAAGGCUGGCGUCACUGCGGCUUUAAUGAGGUUCGAAGUGUUUCCAGCUUUGGCGAGGCCGGAGAAUGCAAAGUCAUUUUCGGUGACUUGGUCAGGGUUCUUGCAAGAGUAUCCUGAUGGGCUUUGAGGACCCUUUGGAUCAGCUACACAGAAGUCUUGAACAGAGGCAAAAGAGGUUGAUGAAACUAGGGAGAGGAUGAAAAAAAUGUGAAUUAUCA